AAUACAGCAGCAAAGGGGAAAAGUACCCCUCUCAAACCUCAAAGGCAAAACAAAUUUGGCCUUCUCGUCUCUCAGGAGUCUCACAUGUGCCCUUAUUCCUACUCAAAACUCCGAUGCUCUUCCGGUCUUCCCAACCUCAAUGCUAUAUUCGCAACAUAAACACAAACACUAAUUCUCCUCCAUUCCAGUCUGAAUCAUGGCUCUUGUGAGUAGGCUUCAAUCUCUGUCUUCCUCUUUGUCUUCCACCCAUUUCAGAAAACCCAACUGCUUAAACCCUCAACCCAUUUGCUCUCUACACUUCAACUCCCCUUCUUACACUUCUCCUUUUACAGAGAAGCAUUCUAUUGAGAGGUACCAGAGAGACCGGUGGCUAUACAAUAACCAAUUGGAGCAACCCACUCUAAUCUCUCUCCCUCCUGAUUCUGAUUCUGAUUUCACAAGGCAGAAUGACAUUGCUUUGCAGCUACCAGAACUGAGAAAGCUGCUUCAGGUGCUGCGAGAGAAGAGAGAGAGGGAAGGAGGGUGUGGUGGAGGCAAGUGUGGGCCUGGCAAUGUCUUCUUGGUGGGCACUGGCCCUGGGGACCCUGAACUCCUGACAUUGAAGGCUGUCAGAGUUAUUCAGAGUGCUGAUUUAUUGUUGUAUGAUAGGUUGGUGUCCAAUGAUGUGUUGGAUUUUGUUGCCUCUGAUGCUAGACUUGUCUAUGUGGGCAAGACUGCUGGGUACCAUAGCAGAACCCAGGAGGAGAUACAUGAAUUGCUACUGAGUUUUGCUGAAGCCGGAGCUACUGUUGUGAGAUUAAAAGGAGGGGAUCCACUGGUGUUUGGAAGGGGUGGAGAGGAGAUGGAUUUUUUGCAACAGCAAGGAAUUCAAGUGCAAGUUAUUCCUGGUAUCACUGCUGCUUCUGGGAUAGCAGCAGAGCUUGGGAUCCCAUUAACUCAUAGAGGUGUUGCAAAUAGUGUAAGAUUUCUGACCGGGCACUCCAGGAAGGGAGGAACAGAUCCUCUUUUUGUGACAGAGAAUGCAGCUGACCCUGAUUCGACCUUGGUGGUAUACAUGGGUUUGUCGACUCUCCCUUCUCUUGCUCAAAAGUUGGUCCCUCAUGGUCUGCCACCGACAACACCAGCUGUUGCAAUUGAGCGAGGGACCACACCUCAACAGCGCAUGGUCUUUGCAGAACUGAAGGAUCUUGCCAAUGAAAUUACAUCAGCAGAGUUAGUAUCACCAACGCUCAUCGUCAUUGGGAAAGUAGUUGCACUUUCACCAUUGUGGCCACAUAAUUUGAAUGAAGUGGUCUCUCUUGUUGGAGCCAUAUAAGACACAAUUGAGUAAUGCGACAAGAUAACCUCAUCCACUUUGACUUCAGAACUUUGGUUCACUGCUCAAAGUUUUCGUAAUUUGGACUUCCAGCUCAAUUUCAAAUCACUUUGAAUGGUGGAGGAUGAUCUUGCUUAAGAUCAGGUGAGUUAGCUGCUUCUUUUUUGGGGGCAGAUACUGUUUCGAGGAGCUAAUUGUUUACAAACAGUGCUGGGUUGUGCUAUAACAUUGUUCGAUGCCCUUGUGCGGGAAAGAAAGAAUUUCAUGCACUGAAGUGGAAGAGGGAGCUGGAUUUUUGUUCACUGGCAGACAGAAAAACGAGCCUUUUGUUCUGAGGUUUUCAUGGUCGUGUGAAUUGGUGGUUCCUUCUUUGGUUACCGGGCGCACGAGGAAGUUGAAACUACAGAUCAUUAUAAUGGCCAAACAAAGGAAUCUAAGGUCUUGAUCGACUGUCCUCGGGUCAUAGGCCACGUUUGGUUCGCGGAAAGGAAGCAUCAGGAAAGGAAACCGGCGUUUGGGAUGCAAAAAGAAAGGAAAUCGUUUCCUGAAUGAAGGGAAAAUAAGGGGGGAAGUGGUUCAUUCCAAAUCUCAAAGGAAUCACUUUCCUCUCUUCUUUACUUGCAUUUAUUACUCACAACAUAUUAUUUUAUUACAUUAUUGACAAAAUUUUAACAACUUUCCUUACGUUACCAAACAUCGGAAUAGAAAAUUGUUGGAAAAUUUCAUUUCCCUUCCCAUGGGAAAGACAAAGGAAUUACUUUCCUUUCCGUGAACCAAACGAGGCUUUAACGCUUUUAAAAGUCCAAAAUCGGGGACUAUAUGAUGA
RNA transcript from Rosa rugosa (rugosa rose), 2141 nucleotides. It is a transcript of the gene named S-adenosyl-L-methionine-dependent uroporphyrinogen III methyltransferase, chloroplastic-like, with no coding region annotated. The record is from RefSeq and is a predicted model, not a curated record. The transcript is spliced from 6 exons. Lineage: Eukaryota; Viridiplantae; Streptophyta; Magnoliopsida; Rosales; Rosaceae.